This 579-nucleotide ribosomal RNA is filed under the name Aureobasidium pullulans. Its description in RNAcentral is "eukaryotic LSU rRNA". It matches the Rfam family "Eukaryotic large subunit ribosomal RNA", at positions 62 to 656 of the family's 3401-position model. Lineage: Eukaryota; Fungi; Ascomycota; Dothideomycetes; Dothideales; Saccotheciaceae. The record is from RNAcentral.
AAACCAACAGGGAUUGCCCUAGUAACGGCGAGUGAAGCGGCAACAGCUCAAAUUUGAAAGCUGGCCUUCGGGUCCGCAUUGUAAUUUGUAGAGGAUGCUUUGGGUGAAACGCCAGUCUAAGUUCCUUGGAACAGGACGUCAUAGAGGGUGAGAAUCCCGUAUGUGACUGGAAAUGUUAACCUAUGUAAAGCUCCUUCGACGAGUCGAGUUGUUUGGGAAUGCAGCUCUAAAUGGGAGGUAAAUUUCUUCUAAAGCUAAAUAUUGGCGAGAGACCGAUAGCGCACAAGUAGAGUGAUCGAAAGAUGAAAAGCACUUUGGAAAGAGAGUUAAAAAGCACGUGAAAUUGUUGAAAGGGAAGCGCUUGCAAUCAGACUUGUUUAAACUGUUCGGCCGGUCUUCUGACCGGUUUACUCAGUUUGGACAGGCCAGCAUCAGUUUCGGCGGCCGGAUAAAGGCUCUGGGAAUGUGGCCUUCACUUCGGUGAAGGUGUUAUAGCCCAGGGUGUAAUACGGCCAGCCGGGACUGAGGUCCGCGCUUCGGCUAGGAUGCUGGCGUAAUGGUUGUAAGCGACCCGUCUUG